UGUAGUGAAUCCAAACCAGAAAUUUACUAGAGACUACUUUAGCAUUUGGGGAUACAGACUUGGAAGAGAGACAUAGAUGAUGAUGGCCUUCCGCCUUCCAAUACGAACUGAUGGUUUAAUAAGCAGCAUUGUCAAAUUUACCCUCUUCCCUAAAGGUUCAAAAUCCACUGAAAGCCCACAAAAGUGAGUACUUUAUUUCUCCCAAAGCAUUGAAUACUUUUGUUGACAAUUCUAACUUUUCUAUUCCGCAGUGUGAAAAACUGAAACUGUUACUUCACUUAAUAUAUAUGUAUACAAGGAGAACAACUUCACUUAAUUCUUAAUUUCUGUUCUGAUUGUAAAAAAAGGAAACUGUCAGUUCACAUCUAUAUCUCUAAUUAAUAGUUGUAGACAGCAACUUGCCACGUGGCGUGAUCAGGGAGAUUAGACUCUUACAAAAAGCCCAAUUCAAGCCCAAUUUCUUCUCUCUUUACGUAAUUCUACUACUACACAACCUCUUCCUCGCUUCCAGAUUUCUAAGAUUACACAUCUACACCGAUUUCUAAGAUGGGCAUUGAUGCUUCCAAGGAGUCGAUCAAAUUUUAAAUUUUCUGCUUCCCACAACGAUCAAGGUGGAGUAUGUUCAAUUUUAGUUUUCAUUGUUUUUAUUGUGUUAAACUUCAAACAGAUUUCUUAAUCAUUCAUUGAUAAUAACUCAUAAGUACAUCCAACAAAUUAUGCACUUUAUCUAAGUUGUUUCAAUUUUUUUUUUGUUAAAUUAAACUUUUAUUUUUAAAUAAACAGCAAACAAAGAAUUUAUUUGAGGUAUAUCUAUCAAAUACGUAGCCUAUGUUCAAUCAACUUAAUUGUAGGAGUAGAGGUACUUUAUUUGAGGAUUAAGCGGAAAACACCCAAGAGAUUCACUUCAGAUGGGGAUGAGGUGCUGCACUCAAAUGCGCAAACCCAAACCCGCCGUAGUUAAUUAUUCAAAAGAAUCUAAUUACCAAGGUAAUAAAUUUUUCCUUCAGAAGUCUUGAUAGUACUAUGUUGUUAAUCUGUGAUCUACUUAGCUUAAUGAGAAUGGGUCAGAUUUGAAUUGAAAGAGUUGAAAUGAAUAACCACCACCACCACGUAGUUGCAAUUUGAUCAUUAAAGCUAGAAUAUUUAAGACUACUGUCCUAGAUGUUGUCUUCAUAGUGACAAUCCUCUCUUAUAUAGACCCCUAAUUGAAUACCCUCCUGAGUCCUGAACUACUAUGAAAUUCAGACUCAGUGAUGAAAUAGAAAACAGUUAAAGAAGUUGCAUUGUUAUAUGCACUUUUUCAUUUUUGUAAUCAAUUUAGUGAGAUGCUGAAGAAUUCCUGUAUCAGAGUUUCACAGUUUGCAAGGCCAUUACGUCUAUUGCCAGUCACGAAACCAACUAUCUGCACGGAUAUGUCAGUAGAGUAGAUGUCUACUUCUUUGAGAGAGAAUUUACACUCAGUAAGUAGUCAAAAUAUAUACAAGUAAUGUUUUUGGAUCAGGAUUGAAUGACUUAAGCACUGGAGUAUUACUUUGCUUGAUCGAUGAAAAUGGUGAUUCGAUAUUACAGAGGAUAUCAACUACUCCAUGGAAAAUACAAUCGAAGGAGCUCUUCCAAAUCUCUGUUUUCAACGAGGUUCUGUAGAUGAGUUCAUUUUCAAGGGCCUAAACUAGGGAGAAUACAAGCACUUUGGGUUGGUCUUGAGUCAGGUUAGCUAAUGCAUAACUUUAUGAUUUUGCUGUUUGUAUAUUGUUUGAUUUAUGGUUUUGAUGAGUGGUAGAUAAAGCUGAAUUAGAAUACCCUCAAAGACGCACACAUUACAUAUGACACAGGACAUACACCCUUCUUCCAUUUCUUCCCCCAUUUAUACAGAGGUUAGUAUCAAUUACUUUAUAUUUAUUUGUUUUCAUCUUUUUGCCUAUUUUGGUGCAGAUUUCUCAAUUCCACUUUAAUGUUUUCCUUACUUCAGUAUUUUUUGUUGUUGAAAUUUCAAUUGAUCAGUAUGUCUAAUUAUUAGAUUUCUGCAAAAUAUUUUGAUAUGGGUUUUUUCCAUUCUUGCAGAGGUCUGUCUGGAUCUAUUGCAAAUAGUGCAUUGAGCUGUUUGAUCUUAAUUAAUAAUCCACAGAUUGGAUGGUCUGUGCGGUGUGCCGAUUCAUCACAGCAGAAGGAUCAACUAAUAAAGGAUAGUCUCUACUAACUUUCACAACCUUAUUAAACCUUCGUCACCAAAAGACAAUCACCACCUUCAGGCUUCAGCCGCCUAACCUAGAUGAGGUAUCUAUAAUAUCUUUAUUUUGUAUUGUUUUGGAAUUAUUUUGCUU
Molecule: long non-coding RNA, 2321 nt
Filed under: Aquilegia coerulea
Lineage: Eukaryota; Viridiplantae; Streptophyta; Magnoliopsida; Ranunculales; Ranunculaceae
Description: long non-coding RNA (ACOE_LNC000936)
Source: RNAcentral